GCCGGGGUGGCGGAACUGGUAGACGCCGCGGACUUAAAAUCCGCAGGGGCGCAAGCCCCGUAUGGGUUCGAAUCCCGUCCCCGGCA
Molecule: transfer RNA, 86 nt
Filed under: Acidobacteriota bacterium
Lineage: Bacteria; Pseudomonadati; Acidobacteriota
Description: Acidobacteria bacterium (sediment metagenome) tRNA-Leu
Rfam family: tRNA
About the family: Transfer RNA (tRNA) molecules are approximately 80 nucleotides in length. Their secondary structure includes four short double-helical elements and three loops (D, anti-codon, and T loops).
Source: RNAcentral